GAGAACUCGGGUGAAGGAACUAGGCAAAAUGGUACCGUAACUUCGGGAGAAGGUACGCUCUUGAUGGUGAAGUCCCUUGCGGAUGGAGCUGACGAGAGUCGCAGAUACCAGGUGGCUGCAACUGUUUAUUAAAAACACAGCACUGUGCAAAAUCGUAAGAUGACGUAUACGGUGUGACGCCUGCCCGGUGCCGGAAGGUUAAUUGAUGGGGUUAGACUUCGGUCGAAGCUCUUGAUCGAAGCCCCGGUAAACGGCGGCCGUAACUAUAACGGUCCUAAGGUAGCGAAAUUCCUUGUCGGGUAAGUUCCGACCUGCACGAAUGGCGUAAUGAUGGCCACGCUGUCUCCACCCGAGACUCAGUGAAAUUGAAAUCGCUGUGAAGAUGCAGUGUACCCGCGGCUAGACGGAAAGACCCCGUGAACCUUUACUACAGCUUGGCACUGAACAUUGACCCUACAUGUGUAGGAUAGGUGGGAGGCUUUGAAGCACGUACGCCAGUAUGUGUGGAGCCGUCCUUGAAAUACCACCCUUGUAGUGUUGAUGUUCUAACGUCGACCCCUUAUCGGGGUUGCGGACAGUGCCUGGUGGGUAGUUUGACUGGGGCGGUCUCCUCCCAAAGAGUAACGGAGGAGCACGAAGGUGGGCUAAUCACGGUUGGACAUCGUGAGGUUAGUGCAAUGGCAUAAGCCCGCUUGACUGCGAGAAUGACAAUUCGAGCAGGUGCGAAAGCAGGUCAUAGUGAUCCGGUGGUUCUGAAUGGAAGGGCCAUCGCUCAACGGAUAAAAGGUACUCCGGGGAUAACAGGCUGAUACCGCCCAAGAGUUCAUAUCGACGGCGGUGUUUGGCACCUCGAUGUCGGCUCAUCACAUCCUGGGGCUGAAGUCGGUCCCAAGGGUAUGGCUGUUCGCCAUUUAAAGUGGUACGCGAGCUGGGUUUAGAACGUCGUGAGACAGUUCGGUCCCUAUCUGCCGUGGGCGUUGGAAGAUUGAAGGGGGCUGCUCCUAGUACGAGAGGACCGGAGUGGACGAACCUCUGGUGUUCGGGUUGUGUCGCCAGACGCAUUGCCCGGUAGCUAAGUUCGGAAUCGAUAACCGCUGAAAGCAUCUAAGCGGGAAGCGAGCCCUGAGAUGAGUCUUCCCUGAUACUUUAAGUAUCCUAAAGGGUUGUCGGAGACUACGACGUUGAUAGGUCAGGUGUGUAAGUGCUGUGAGGCAUUGAGCUAACUGAUACUAAUUGCCCGUGAGGCUUAACCAUACAACACCCAAGGGGUUU
Molecule: ribosomal RNA, 1272 nt
Filed under: Vibrio parahaemolyticus
Lineage: Bacteria; Pseudomonadati; Pseudomonadota; Gammaproteobacteria; Vibrionales; Vibrionaceae
Description: partial 23S ribosomal RNA
Rfam family: Bacterial large subunit ribosomal RNA
Source: RNAcentral